Molecule: ribosomal RNA, 253 nt
Filed under: uncultured bacterium
Lineage: Bacteria
Description: partial 16S ribosomal RNA
Rfam family: Bacterial small subunit ribosomal RNA
Source: RNAcentral
UACGAAGGGUGCAAGCGUUAAUCGGAAUUACUGGGCGUAAAGGGUGCGUAGGCGGUUGUUUAAGUCUGUCGUGAAAUCCCCGGGCUCAACCUGGGAAUGGCGAUGGAUACUGGGCAGCUAGAGUGUGUCAGAGGAUGGUGGAAUUCCCGGUGUAGCGGUGAAAUGCGUAGAGAUCGGGAGGAACAUCAGUGGCGAAGGCGGCCAACUGGUCCGAUACUGACGCUGAGGCGCGAAAGCGUGGGGAGCAAACAGG